Molecule: long non-coding RNA, 342 nt
Organism: Oncorhynchus tshawytscha (Chinook salmon)
Lineage: Eukaryota; Metazoa; Chordata; Actinopteri; Salmoniformes; Salmonidae
Source: Ensembl
CAGAGAGAGAGAGAGAGAGGGUCUUUGAGAAGCAGAAGGCUGUGUAUAUUUUAUUGAUUGAACAUGGCGAUAGAGAGAGACUGGAGAUGACAGAUUAAUUAGCAGGUUAGGUCAGAGGGUGAAUAGGUUAGAGGGUGAAUAGGUUAGAGGGUGAAUAGGUUAGGUUAGAGGGUGAAUAGGUUAGGUUAGAGGGUGAAUAGGUCAGGUUAGGGAGGGUGAAUAGGUCAGGUUAGGGAGGGUGAAUAGGUCAGGUUAGAGAGUGAAUAGGUUAGGUUAGAGGGUGAAUAGGUUAGGUUAGAGGGUGAAUAGGUUAGGUUAGAGGGUGAAUAGGUUAGGUUAGAG